RNAcentral lists this long non-coding RNA (200 nucleotides) under Glycine max (soybean). RNAcentral describes it as "long non-coding RNA (GMAX_LNC002765)". The record is from RNAcentral. Lineage: Eukaryota; Viridiplantae; Streptophyta; Magnoliopsida; Fabales; Fabaceae.
GGGUGUGUAGCUAAGCUCUAGCUUCUCAUCUCAAGGAGGUGAGCUUAGCUAUUAGAGAGGUAUGUGUAGCUAAGCUCUAGCUUCUUUAGGAAUCUUCUUAAGGAAGCUUCUCAAGGAGGUGAGCUUAGUUAUAAGAGGGGUGUGUGUAGCUAAGCUCUAGCUUCUCAAGGAAGUUUUCUCAAAGAAGCUUCUCAAGGAAG